AGGAAUGUAGUUCAAUCGGUAGAGCACUUGCUUGGUUAGCAUGGAGCCCUGGGUUUGACCCCCAUCAUUACAU
This 73-nucleotide transfer RNA is filed under the name Mesocricetus auratus (golden hamster). It matches the Rfam family "tRNA". From Rfam's summary of the family: Transfer RNA (tRNA) molecules are approximately 80 nucleotides in length. Lineage: Eukaryota; Metazoa; Chordata; Mammalia; Rodentia; Cricetidae. The record is from Rfam by way of RNAcentral.